CCCUUAGAUGUUCUGGGCCGCACGCGUGCUACACUGAUGCAUUCAACGAGUCUAAAACCUGGUCUGAUAGGGCUGGGUAAUCUUUUGAAAGUGCAUCGUGAUUGGGAUAGAUGAUCGCAAUUCUUCAUCUUCAACGAGGAAUGCCUAGUAAACGCAAGUCAUCAGCUUGCAUUGAUUACGUCCCUGCCCUUUGUACACACCGCCCGUCGCUCCUACCGAUUGAAUGAUCCGAUGAAUACCAUGGAUUGAGAGUACGAAUAGGUUCGCUUAUUUCUGCUGCUCGAGAAGUGGAGUAAAUCUUAUCAUUUAGAGGAAGGAGAAGUCGUAACA
Molecule: ribosomal RNA, 330 nt
Filed under: uncultured eukaryote
Lineage: Eukaryota
Description: partial 18S ribosomal RNA
Rfam family: Eukaryotic small subunit ribosomal RNA
Source: RNAcentral